RNAcentral lists this unclassified non-coding RNA (339 nucleotides) under soil metagenome. RNAcentral's name for it is "partial contains 5.8S ribosomal RNA, internal transcribed spacer 2, and large subunit ribosomal RNA". The stretch from base 2 to 121 matches the Rfam family "5.8S ribosomal RNA", at positions 35 to 154 of the family's 154-position model. The record is from RNAcentral.
GGAUGAAGAACGUAGCGAAAUGCGAUAAGUAAUGUGAAUUGCAGAAUUCAGUGAAUCAUCGAAUCUUUGAACGCACAUUGCGCCCGCCAGCAUUCUGGCGGGCAUGCCUGUUCGAGCGUCAUUUCAACCCUCAAGCUCUGCUUGGUGUUGGGGCCCUACGGUUGACGUAGGCCCUUAAAGGUAGUGGCGGACCCUCUCGGAGCCUCCUUUGCGUAGUAACUAACGUCUCGCAUUGGGAUUCGGAGGGACUCUUGCCGUAAAACCCCCAAAUUUUCUAAUGGUUGACCUCGGAUCAGGUAGGAAUACCCGCUGAACUUAAGCAUAUCAAUAAGCGGAGGA